ACCGGCCACACUGGGACUGAGACACGGCCCAGACUCCUACGGGAGGCAGCAGUGGGGAAUAUUGCACAAUGGGCGGAAGCCUGAUGCAGCGACGCCGCGUGAGGGAUGACGGCCUUCGGGUUGUAAACCUCUUUCAGCACGGAAGAAGCGAGAGUGACGGUACGUGCAGAAGAAGCGCCGGCUAACUACGUGCCAGCAGCCGCGGUAAUACGUAGGGCGCAAGCGUUGUCCGGAAUUAUUGGGCGUAAAGAGCUCGUAGGCGGUUUGUCGCGUCUGCUGUGAAAGCCCGGGGCUUAACCCCGGGUGUGCAGUGGGUACGGGCAGACUUGAGUGCAGUAGGGGAGACUGGAAUUCCUGGUGUAGCGGUGAAAUGCGCAGAUAUCAGGAAGAACACCGAUGGCGAAGGCAGGUCUCUGGGCUGUUACUGACGCUGAGGAGCGAAAGCAUGGGGAGCGAACAGGAUUAGAUACCCUGGUAGUCCAUGCCGUAAACGUUGGGCACUAGGUGUGGGGGACAUUCCACGUUUUCCGCGCCGUAGCUAACGCAUUAAGUGCCCCGCCUGGGGAGUACGGCCGCAAGGCUAAAACUCAAAGGAAUUGACGGGGGCCCGCACAAGCGGCGGAGCAUGCGGAUUAAUUCGAUGCAACGCGAAGAACCUUACCAAGGCUUGACAUACACCGGACCGGUUCAGAGAUGUUCCUUCCCCCUUGUGGGGCUGGUGUACAGGUGGUGCAUGGUUGUCGUCAGCUCGUGUCGUGAGAUGUUGGGUUAAGUCCCGCAACGAGCGCAACCCUCGUUCUAUGUUGCCAGCACGUGAUGGUGGGGACUCAUAGGAGACUGCCGGGGUCAACUCGGAGGAAGGUGGGGAUGACGUCAAAUCAUCAUGCCCCUUAUGUCUUGGGCUUCACGCAUGCUACAAUGGCCGGUACAAUGGGUUGCGAUGCCGUGAGGUGGAGCUAAUCCCAAAAAGCCGGUCUCAGUUCGGAUCGUGGUCUGCAACUCGACCACGUGAAGUCGGAGUCGCUAGUAAUCGCAGAUCAGCAACGCUGCGGUGAAUACGUUCCCGGGCCUUGUACACACCGCCCGUCAAGUCACGAAAGUUGGUAACACCCGAAGCCGGUGGCCUAACCCUUGUGGAGGGAGCCGUCGAAGG
Molecule: ribosomal RNA, 1153 nt
Filed under: Kocuria salsicia
Lineage: Bacteria; Bacillati; Actinomycetota; Actinomycetes; Micrococcales; Micrococcaceae
Description: bacterial SSU rRNA
Rfam family: Bacterial small subunit ribosomal RNA
Source: RNAcentral